UAUUUUUAUGUGCAUUUAGCUGACUUCAGCUACUUGUUAGGAGGCAACUUUGGACAGUGAAUGAGCAGGUCUCUGAGCCUCAGUCUCACCUAAAACUUAUUUAUUUAUUACUUUAAUGACUAUCUGAGCACCUACUGUGUGUUGAGCCUAACAACAGACUGUUUCCUCAAGAGCUAAGAGGUGAUCUUGUUUAUGGAAUCUUCAGCUCAGCAUGUAAGAGACGGACAGGCCAGUGGACAUAGCACAGCCACAGGAGGAAGACAAAACAGGAAUAAGGAGGGAAGCACCUUUCCGAAAGACCUCCAAAAUAUGGCAGAAAGGGACAGAGGAGGUGGCUUUGAUGGUCAUGGUAACGAUCGUCAGGCCGACUGAGGGAAUACCAGGUGUGCAGGUCCAUCGUCACAGCCCCGAAUAAUCUGCAAUACUGCUCAUUUCGAUUUCUCAGCUCCGUGCCAGCCCCUUCAAUAAUAGCAGGCAAUUUAAUUUCAUCUAUUAGGGGUUACGUUCUCUUUACUCUAAUAAAGCAAAUGCU
Molecule: long non-coding RNA, 532 nt
Organism: Mustela erminea (ermine)
Lineage: Eukaryota; Metazoa; Chordata; Mammalia; Carnivora; Mustelidae
Exons: 3
Source: RefSeq, a predicted model, not a curated record